Molecule: long non-coding RNA, 1502 nt
Organism: Cajanus cajan (pigeon pea)
Lineage: Eukaryota; Viridiplantae; Streptophyta; Magnoliopsida; Fabales; Fabaceae
Source: RefSeq, a predicted model, not a curated record
CACCCUACCACUGCACGAGAUGCACCCCACCACUGCUCAAGACACAACCUGCCACCGCACGAGACUCCUGACCAGGGCCGUGGGAAUUAGUGGAAGGAUUGAGUUGAUGGAAAUGUGAAUCUACUGAAGCAUAAGAUACGUGAUUGUAAGGAAUGGGAGGCAGAGACUUCUACUCAUGAUUAUGAGUUCGCUCAUGGAACAAGGAGUUUUUGGUAUGUUUGGAACAAGGAGUUACUCAAGCAACAAUGAUGCUCAAAUGAGGUUUGGGGGAGUGUCUUAUUAUGGAAGAUUGAUAGACAUCAUUGAACUUCACUAAAAUGGGUUCACAAUACCUAUGUUUAAAUGUGAAUAGACUAAUACCACAAACCCAAGAGGAAUGAAGAUAGACAAGUUGAGUUUUGUCUCUAUUAAUUUUUCCAUACUAAGACAUACUAGAGACCAUGAAGAUGAUGAACCAUACACUAAUGCUUCAAAAGUUAAAAUGGUUUAUUACGUGGAUGAUGAGAAGGAACAAGGUUGGAAUAUACCAAUUCAUUUGAAGCCAAGAGACUUGUACAACAUGGGAGAAAAUGAUGAAGCUAUGCCAUCCAUUGAAUCGUACCCAUCACAAAAUUUGGAUCAAAUUUUCCCUAAUGAUGCUAGUCAUAUACAAUUGGAAAGAAUGACAACAGAUGAUGAUGAACUUGAAGGCUUAACUACCAAUGUAGAUUGUAAUAAUGACAAUGAAGAAAUGGUUUUCCCUAAUGUUUUCUUUUAUAAAUUCUUUUAAGUGUAUGGACUUGUGUUUAUUAGUUAUAGGAAAUUCUUUUGAAUGUAUAUUUUUUAUCAUCUUAGAUUUAGAAGUUGAUAUUAAUUGUGGUUUAUAUUUAUAGAUAUGCUUCCUUCAAGAUAAGUUGCUUCUAGGAGUAGAUCCAUGCCAAAUCCACAAAAUGAACCUAAUGCAUCUCAUCAAAAUGAACAUGUUCCUCAACAAAGUGAGCCUAUAGCUAAUAUUGAAUCAUCUCAAGAAGAGGUACAAGUUGAGACUAAUGGGAUUGAGAAUGUACUUGAAAAUCCAUCGGUGGUUCGAAGAAAAACAUAUCCAUAUUGGAUUGUUGAUGUUAUUGAUGGGGAAGGCCAUAUAUCACAAACACGUCUACAAGUGCAAGAUGUGUUUCCAAUGACUGAUAGUCCAACAAAGAUAUUGACACAAUGGAAUAGACACAAUCAACCAGUGGAUGAUUCUUCUAGUUUGUUGGCGGGAUUUUUAGGCCAAGUUGCUUCCAACUUUGGCAACUUUCCUGUAUUGUAUGAGAAAUGGACAUAGGUUCCUAAAAAGUAUAAAAAUAAUGUUUUUGUUAACACGAUACAGGCUAAUUUUGUUGUUAACGGUGAAGAUCACAAAGAAUACAUCUUUUGGAGAUUGGGAAAGAAAUGGAAGGAAAAAUGGUAUAGAUUGUUUGAUAAAUAACAUGAUUGGGAAAAAUUCAUGGAGCAAAAUAUUCAGAAUCACCCACUGCACA